RNAcentral lists this ribosomal RNA (269 nucleotides) under uncultured prokaryote. RNAcentral describes it as "partial 16S ribosomal RNA". It matches the Rfam family "Bacterial small subunit ribosomal RNA", at positions 524 to 792 of the family's 1533-position model. The record is from RNAcentral.
UACGGAGGAUCCGAGCGUUAUCCGGAUUUAUUGGGUUUAAAGGGUGCGCAGGCGGGAGAUUAAGUCGGCGGUGAAAUUUUGCAGCUCAACUGUAAAAGUGCCUUCGAAACUGGUUUCCUUGAGUGUAGAUGAAGUAGGCGGAAUUUGUGGUGUAGCGGUGAAAUGCAUAGAUAUCACGAGGAACUCCGAUUGCGCAGGCAGCUUACUAAACUACUACUGACGCUCAGGCACGAAGGCGUGGGGAGCGAACAGGAUUAGAUACCCGUGUA